This 2452-nucleotide ribosomal RNA is filed under the name Escherichia coli. RNAcentral's name for it is "partial 23S ribosomal RNA". It matches the Rfam family "Bacterial large subunit ribosomal RNA", at positions 505 to 2925 of the family's 2925-position model. Lineage: Bacteria; Pseudomonadati; Pseudomonadota; Gammaproteobacteria; Enterobacterales; Enterobacteriaceae. The record is from RNAcentral.
GAGGGAAAGGCGAAAAGAACCCCGGCGAGGGGAGUGAAAAAGAACCUGAAACCGUGUACGUACAAGCAGUGGGAGCCUCUUAAUGGGGUGACUGCGUACCUUUUGUAUAAUGGGUCAGCGACUUAUAUUCUGUAGCAAGGUUAACCGAAUAGGGGAGCCGAAGGGAAACCGAGUCUUAACUGGGCGUUAAGUUGCAGGGUAUAGACCCGAAACCCGGUGAUCUAGCCAUGGGCAGGUUGAAGGUUGGGUAACACUAACUGGAGGACCGAACCGACUAAUGUUGAAAAAUUAGCGGAUGACUUGUGGCUGGGGGUGAAAGGCCAAUCAAACCGGGAGAUAGCUGGUUCUCCCCGAAAGCUAUUUAGGUAGCGCCUCGUGAAUUCAUCUCCGGGGGUAGAGCACUGUUUCGGCAAGGGGGUCAUCCCGACUUACCAACCCGAUGCAAACUGCGAAUACCGGAGAAUGUUAUCACGGGAGACACACGGCGGGUGCUAACGUCCGUCGUGAAGAGGGAAACAACCCAGACCGCCAGCUAAGGUCCCAAAGUCAUGGUUAAGUGGGAAACGAUGUGGGAAGGCCCAGACAGCCAGGAUGUUGGCUUAGAAGCAGCCAUCAUUUAAAGAAAGCGUAAUAGCUCACUGGUCGAGUCGGCCUGCGCGGAAGAUGUAACGGGGCUAAACCAUGCACCGAAGCUGCGGCAGCGACACUAUGUGUUGUUGGGUAGGGGAGCGUUCUGUAAGCCUGUGAAGGUGGCCUGUGAGGGUUGCUGGAGGUAUCAGAAGUGCGAAUGCUGACAUAAGUAACGAUAAAGCGGGUGAAAAGCCCGCUCGCCGGAAGACCAAGGGUUCCUGUCCAACGUUAAUCGGGGCAGGGUGAGUCGACCCCUAAGGCGAGGCCGAAAGGCGUAGUCGAUGGGAAACAGGUUAAUAUUCCUGUACUUGGUGUUACUGCGAAGGGGGGACGGAGAAGGCUAUGUUGGCCGGGCGACGGUUGUCCCGGUUUAAGCGUGUAGGCUGGUUUUCCAGGCAAAUCCGGAAAAUCAAGGCUGAGGCGUGAUGACGAGGCACUACGGUGCUGAAGCGACAAAUGCCCUGCUUCCAGGAAAAGCCUCUAAGCAUCAGGUAACAUCAAAUCGUACCCCAAACCGACACAGGUGGUCAGGUAGAGAAUACCAAGGCGCUUGAGAGAACUCGGGUGAAGGAACUAGGCAAAAUGGUGCCGUAACUUCGGGAGAAGGCACGCUGAUAUGUAGGUGAAGCGACUUGCUCGUGGAGCUGAAAUCAGUCGAAGAUACCAGCUGGCUGCAACUGUUUAUUAAAAACACAGCACUGUGCAAACACGAAAGUGGACGUAUACGGUGUGACGCCUGCCCGGUGCCGGAAGGUUAAUUGAUGGGGUUAGCGGUAACGCGAAGCUCUUGAUCGAAGCCCCGGUAAACGGCGGCCGUAACUAUAACGGUCCUAAGGUAGCGAAAUUCCUUGUCGGGUAAGUUCCGACCUGCACGAAUGGCGUAAUGAUGGCCAGGCUGUCUCCACCCGAGACUCAGUGAAAUUGAACUCGCUGUGAAGAUGCAGUGUACCCGCGGCAAGACGGAAAGACCCCGUGAACCUUUACUAUAGCUUGACACUGAACAUUGAGCCUUGAUGUGUAGGAUAGGUGGGAGGCUUUGAAGUGUGGACGCCAGUCUGCAUGGAGCCGACCUUGAAAUACCACCCUUUAAUGUUUGAUGUUCUAACGUGGGCCCCUUACCGGGGUUGCGGACAGUGUCUGGUGGGUAGUUUGACUGGGGCGGUCUCCUCCUAAAGAGUAACGGAGGAGCACGAAGGUUGGCUAAUCCUGGUCGGACAUCAGGAGGUUAGUGCAAUGGCAUAAGCCAGCUUGACUGCGAGCGUGACGGCGCGAGCAGGUGCGAAAGCAGGUCAUAGUGAUCCGGUGGUUCUGAAUGGAAGGGCCAUCGCUCAACGGAUAAAAGGUACUCCGGGGAUAACAGGCUGAUACCGCCCAAGAGUUCAUAUCGACGGCGGUGUUUGGCACCUCGAUGUCGGCUCAUCACAUCCUGGGGCUGAAGUAGGUCCCAAGGGUAUGGCUGUUCGCCAUUUAAAGUGGUACGCGAGCUGGGUUUAGAACGUCGUGAGACAGUUCGGUCCCUAUCUGCCGUGGGCGCUGGAGAACUGAGGGGGGCUGCUCCUAGUACGAGAGGACCGGAGUGGACGCAUCACUGGUGUUCGGGUUGUCAUGCCAAUGGCACUGCCCGGUAGCUAAAUGCGGAAGAGAUAAGUGCUGAAAGCAUCUAAGCACGAAACUUGCCCCGAGAUGAGUUCUCCCUGACUCCUUGAGAGUCCUGAAGGAACGUUGAAGACGACGACGUUGAUAGGCCGGGUGUGUAAGCGCAGCGAUGCGUUGAGCUAACCGGUACUAAUGAACCGUGAGGCUUAACCUUACAACGCCGAAG